RNAcentral lists this transfer RNA (73 nucleotides) under Candidatus Blackburnbacteria bacterium. RNAcentral's name for it is "tRNA-Val". It matches the Rfam family "tRNA". From Rfam's summary of the family: Transfer RNA (tRNA) molecules are approximately 80 nucleotides in length. Their secondary structure includes four short double-helical elements and three loops (D, anti-codon, and T loops). Further hydrogen bonds mediate the characteristic L-shaped molecular structure. tRNAs have two regions of fundamental functional importance: the anti-codon, which is responsible for specific mRNA codon recognition, and the 3' end, to which the tRNAs corresponding amino acid is attached (by aminoacyl-tRNA synthetases). tRNAs cope with the degeneracy of the genetic code in two manners: having more than one tRNA (with a specific anti-codon) for a particular amino acid; and 'wobble' base-pairing, i.e. permitting non-standard base-pairing at the 3rd anti-codon position. Lineage: Bacteria; Candidatus Blackburniibacteriota. The record is from RNAcentral.
GGACGGUUAGCUCAGUUGGUAGAGCGCAUUCUUGACGUGAAUGAGGUCGCGAGUUCGAGCCUUGCACCGUCCA